This is a long non-coding RNA of Mugil cephalus (flathead mullet), 1916 nucleotides long. RefSeq lists it as uncharacterized. The transcript has 4 exons. The record is from RefSeq and is a predicted model, not a curated record. NCBI's taxonomy places the organism in Eukaryota, Metazoa, Chordata, Actinopteri, Mugiliformes, Mugilidae.
AAUUGCUCUCUUUUGCAACCAGCCUUAAGCGGGCACUCGAUGAACUGCAAUUUUUUGCACUUCUGCAUGGGCUUCAUCGCUUAGAGCUGGUGUCGGUACGAGAUGUGUUCGGCUUGCCAGAUAUGUUCGGCCCGAGAAUCCGGCGCUUCGUGAUGACGUCACACCCUGUCAAAUACGUGCGAAUUUUUACGAUUAUGCAUUUGACAUGAAGUGACGUCAUCCAUAAGCGCUGGAUCCUAUGGCCAAAUAUAUCUGUCAGGCCGAACACAUCCGCCUGAUGAUUCCACACAGGAGGGCUUCCUCCACUGACGGAAUCACGUGUUGUAAAGACGCUUUACCAUAGGUCGAGGAAGGAGUCAGCGGCAGUGCUGCCUUUAGGGGCGCUUGAAAAAAUCCGGGAAAUUAUAACAUUCUGACUAAAGUCUUGGCUAACCAAUUGAAUGAUGUGCCGUCUGUGACUACAAAAGAUGGGUCCAAACAAAAAAAACAUAGGGCCGUGGGAGAGGACGAGAGGAGGUCAGGCGUUUGGCCUCUGAGGCAGGAAACAGACCAGCACCUCGGCAGAAGAAGUGGCAUGAUCUAUAUCUGAAGAUAAACCUGGACAGAGUGAUAUGUGUAUCAUAUUAAAUGUAAAGCUAUGACAUAUUUAAAGGGAACACCUUCUUAUUCGCUGUCAAACACAGAGAUUGAGAAAUGCCCAAUGUAGAUGAGGGGACAGAUGUCACUGUUUGGAGGUGCACAGAUCUGUAAAUGUGUUUUUUCAUGCAAAGAACGUAUCUGAAGUCUCUUAUGACGUGCUGGUGUUGAAUUCUGUUUUAUUACAAUUUUUUUUUAAUCUUAUCUGUGAACCUGUAGCCUUCCAGUUCGCUCCCUGUCUCAGUGCAUCCAAGAACCUCAUGUACAGUGGCACAGCAGCCAGGGCCUUCACCUGGUGAGAUGCUACAGCCAGGACUCUACCUGCAGGUUCACCACCACCACCAAAGGAUGUCUCCUUAGCUAGCGGUGAACCUUGGCAUCACCCAGCUUCUUCCAUUCUGCCCUCCACUGCUACAGCUGAACCCCCUCCGCUCUUCUCACCUUGCCAUUGCCUAAAAAUGUGGGGAUCGUACCUGUUUCAGACGCUGCUUGGCUGCCCACAAAACUGCUGAAGACCAUACAUUUCAGCAGCCCUAUGGAAAGACCAGCGUCUUUUCAAAGACCCAAAACUGUGGUAUCCCUCAUAUACCAUCACGUCCUCACUCCUGAGCGCUUCUUCCACCACGACUUCUCUCAUGGAAAAACAUGGUGUGACAUUCUUUGUCAAUAUGUAUAUAAUGUAAAUAGUUUUAAAAGAAAAAAGUCUUAAUAUGCUGCUGUUCUAUUUUGUUUUUUAACUUUACCACACGUGUUUGUGAGUGUGUGUGUGAAAUUUGUAAUAAAUUUGUUACAUUUCAGUGACUGUCUUAAUUUUUUUCUGCAAAAAUGCAAACUCACUCAUAGAAAACGAUAAUAUUGUUGCAGUACUUCAUUCAGAAAUAUAAAAAUGACUAUAAAAGUACAUUUAGGUACAUGUGAUAACACUUGGUAGUAGUCUGUGUUAAAGGCCUCAUGUUCCAAUGGUGGAAUCAAACCGGCGACCUUUGGGUCAAGAGCCUCCUAUGCUUUUCUGCAGUUAAGUGUCAUGUUUGGUUAGCUUUCUCAAAUUAAUAGACCAGAAUAUGUGUGAUUUUACUUGUGAUGGACAGUAGAGACACUAAUAAGUGCAGGCUCCUUCCAUUUUUUCAAAAUUUCCUCUCUUUUCCGUCUUUUCCCUUCUUCCCCCUUCUUCCCCCUCUUCCUUCUUCUUCCCCCGCCUAUCCAGACUAUUGUUCCCCAGCUUCAUUUACAGGUUACACUUGCAGGACUGGAUCCUUUUUUUUUCUCUCUACUUUUUAUAC